UUGCUCCACCGGAAAAAGAAGAGUGGCGAACGGGUGAGUAACACGUGGGUAACCUGCCCAUCAGAAGGGGAUAACACUUGGAAACAGGUGCUAAUACCGUAUAACAAUCAAAACCGCAUGGUUUUGAUUUGAAAGGCGCUUUCGGGUGUCGCUGAUGGAUGGACCCGCGGUGCAUUAGCUAGUUGGUGAGGUAACGGCUCACCAAGGCCACGAUGCAUAGCCGACCUGAGAGGGUGAUCGGCCACAUUGGGACUGAGACACGGCCCAAACUCCUACGGGAGGCAGCAGUAGGGAAUCUUCGGCAAUGGACGAAAGUCUGACCGAGCAACGCCGCGUGAGUGAAGAAGGUUUUCGGAUCGUAAAACUCUGUUGUUAGAGAAGAACAAGGAUGAGAGUAACUGUUCAUCCCUUGACGGUAUCUAACCAGAAAGCCACGGCUAACUACGUGCCAGCAGCCGCGGUAAUACGUAGGUGGCAAGCGUUGUCCGGAUUUAUUGGGCGUAAAGCGAGCGCAGGCGGUUUCUUAAGUCUGAUGUGAAAGCCCCCGGCUCAACCGGGGAGGGUCAUUGGAAACUGGGAGACUUGAGUGCAGAAGAGGAGAGUGGAAUUCCAUGUGUAGCGGUGAAAUGCGUAGAUAUAUGGAGGAACACCAGUGGCGAAGGCGGCUCUCUGGUCUGUAACUGACGCUGAGGCUCGAAAGCGUGGGGAGCAAACAGGAUUAGAUACCCUGGUAGUCCACGCCGUAAACGAUGAGUGCUAAGUGUUGGAGGGUUUCCGCCCUUCAGUGCUGCAGCUAACGCAUUAAGCACUCCGCCUGGGGAGUACGACCGCAAGGUUGAAACUCAAAGGAAUUGACGGGGGCCCGCACAAGCGGUGGAGCAUGUGGUUUAAUUCGAAGCAACGCGAAGAACCUUACCAGGUCUUGACAUCCUUUGACCACUCUAGAGAUAGAGCUUCCCCUUCGGGGGCAAAGUGACAGGUGGUGCAUGGUUGUCGUCAGCUCGUGUCGUGAGAUGUUGGGUUAAGUCCCGCAACGAGCGCAACCCUUAUUGUUAGUUGCCAUCAUUCAGUUGGGCAUUCUAGCAAGACUGCCGGUGACAAACCGGAGGAAGGUGGGG
This 1118-nucleotide ribosomal RNA is filed under the name Enterococcus faecium. RNAcentral's name for it is "bacterial SSU rRNA". It matches the Rfam family "Bacterial small subunit ribosomal RNA", at positions 72 to 1178 of the family's 1533-position model. The record is from RNAcentral. Lineage: Bacteria; Bacillati; Bacillota; Bacilli; Lactobacillales; Enterococcaceae.